Molecule: ribosomal RNA, 350 nt
Filed under: uncultured bacterium
Lineage: Bacteria
Description: bacterial SSU rRNA
Rfam family: Bacterial small subunit ribosomal RNA
Source: RNAcentral
UGGGGAAUAUUGGACAAUGGGGGCAACCCUGAUCCAGCCAUGCCGCGUGUGUGAAGAAGGCCUUUUGGUUGUAAAGCACUUUAAGCAGUGAAGAAGACCUAACGGUUAAUACCCGUUAGCGAUGACAUUAGCUGCAGAAUAAGCACCGGCUAACUCUGUGCCAGCAGCCGCGGUAAUACAGAGGGUGCAAGCGUUAAUCGGAAUUACUGGGCGUAAAGCGAGCGUAGGUGGCUUGAUAAGUCAGAUGUGAAAUCCCCGGGCUUAACCUGGGAACUGCAUCUGAUACUGUUAGGCUAGAAUAGGUGAGAGGAAGGUAGAAUUCCAGGUGUAGCGGUGAAAUGCGUAGAGAU